RNAcentral lists this ribosomal RNA (504 nucleotides) under uncultured bacterium. RNAcentral describes it as "partial 16S ribosomal RNA". It matches the Rfam family "Bacterial small subunit ribosomal RNA", at positions 28 to 507 of the family's 1533-position model. The record is from RNAcentral.
GACGAACGCUGGCGGCGUGCCUAAUACAUGCAAGUAGAACGCACAGUUUAUACCGUAGCUUGCUACACCAUAGACUGUGAGUUGCGAACGGGUGAGUAACGCGUAGGUAACCUGCCUGGUAGCGGGGAUAACUAUUGGAAACGAUAGCUAAUACCGCAUAAUAUUGAUUAUUGCAUGAUAAUUGAUUGAAAGAUGCUAUUGCAUCACUACCAGAUGGACCUGCGUUGUAUUAGCUAGUAGGUGAGGUAACGGCUCACCUAGGCGACGAUACAUAGCCGACCUGAGAGGGUGAUCGGCCACACUGGGACUGAGACACGGCCCAGACUCCUACGGGAGGCAGCAGUAGGGAAUCUUCGGCAAUGGACGAAAGUCUGACCGAGCAACGCCGCGUGAGUGAAGAAGGUUUUCGGAUCGUAAAGCUCUGUUGUAAGAGAAGAACGGGUGUGAGAGUGGAAAGUUCACACUGUGACGGUAUCUUACCAGAAAGGGACGGCUAACUACGUG